GAUGAACGCUGGCGGCGUGCCUAAUACAUGCAAGUCGAGCGAACAGACGAGGAUCUUGCUCCUCUGACGUUAGCGGCGGACGGGUGAGUAACACGUGGAUAACCUACCUCUAAGACUGGGAUAACUUCGGGAAACCGGAGCUAAUACCGGAUAAUAUAUUGAACCGCAUGGUUCAAUAGUGAAAGACGGUUUUGCUGUCACUUAUAGAUGGAUCCGCGCCGCAUUAGCUAGUUGGUAAGGUAACGGCUUACCAAGGCAACGAUGCGUAGCCGACCUGAGAGGGUGGACGGCCAAACUGGAACUGAGACACGGUCCAGACGCCUACGGGAGGCAGAAGUAGGGAAUCUUCCGCAAUGGGCGAAAGCCUGACGGAGCAACGCCGCGUGAGUGAUGAAGGUCUUCGGAUCGUAAAACUCUGUUAUUAGGGAAGAACAAAUGUGUAAGUAACUAUGCACGUCUUGACGGUACCUAAUCAGAAAGCCACGGCUAGCUACGUG
Molecule: ribosomal RNA, 497 nt
Filed under: uncultured bacterium
Lineage: Bacteria
Description: partial 16S ribosomal RNA
Rfam family: Bacterial small subunit ribosomal RNA
Source: RNAcentral